RNAcentral lists this ribosomal RNA (1000 nucleotides) under uncultured organism. RNAcentral's name for it is "bacterial SSU rRNA". It matches the Rfam family "Bacterial small subunit ribosomal RNA", at positions 356 to 1376 of the family's 1533-position model. The record is from RNAcentral.
GGGGGAUAUUGCGCAAUGGGGGCAACCCUGACGCAGCAACGCCGCGUGAAGGAUGAAGGUUUUCGGAUUGUAAACUUCUUUUAUUAAGGACGAAAAAUGACGGUACUUAAUGAAUAAGCUCCGGCUAACUACGUGCCAGCAGCCGCGGUAAUACGUAGGGAGCAAGCGUUGUCCGGAUUUACUGGGUGUAAAGGGUGCGUAGGCGGCUUUGCAAGUCAGAUGUGAAAUCUAUGGGCUCAACCCAUAAACUGCAUUUGAAACUGUAGAGUUUGAGUGAAGUAGAGGCAGGCGGAAUUCCCCGUGUAGCGGUGAAAUGCGUAGAGAUGGGGAGGAACACCAGUGGCGAAGGCGGCCUGCUGGGCUUUAACUGACGCUGAGGCACGAAAGCGUGGGUAGCAAACAGGAUUAGAUACCCUGGUAGUCCACGCUGUAAACGAUGAUUACUAGGUGUGGGGGGUCUGACCCCUUCCGUGCCGGAGUUAACACAAUAAGUAAUCCACCUGGGGAGUACGGCCGCAAGGUUGAAACUCAAAGGAAUUGACGGGGGCCCGCACAAGCAGUGGAGUAUGUGGUUUAAUUCGAAGCAACGCGAAGAACCUUACCAGGUCUUGACAUCCAACUAACGAAGUAGAGAUACAUUAGGUGCCCUUCGGGGAAAGUUGAGACAGGUGGUGCAUGGUUGUCGUCAGCUCGUGUCGUGAGAUGUUGGGUUAAGUCCCGCAACGAGCGCAACCCUUGCUAUUAGUUGCUACGCAAGAGCACUCUAAUAGGACUGCCGUUGACAAAACGGAGGAAGGUGGGGACGACGUCAAAUCAUCAUGCCCCUUAUGACCUGGGCUACACACGUACUACAAUGGAUGUUAACAGAGGGAAGCAAGACAGCGAUGUGGAGCAAACCCCUAAAAACAUUCUCAGUUCAGAUUGCAGGCUGCAACCCGCCUGCAUGAAGAUGGAAUUGCUAGUAAUCGCGGAUCAGCAUGCCGCGGUGAAUACGUUCCCG